Molecule: non-coding RNA, 76 nt
Organism: Potamilus streckersoni
Lineage: Eukaryota; Metazoa; Mollusca; Bivalvia; Unionida; Unionidae
Source: the annotation of a GenBank genome assembly
GCUCCAUUUGGCCUAGUGGUAGGAGCGUCCGCCUCGGAAGCGAUAGGUCGUGGGUUCGAUCUCUAGCCAAGUAAUA